This 855-nucleotide ribosomal RNA is filed under the name uncultured organism. RNAcentral's name for it is "SSU rRNA". It matches the Rfam family "Bacterial small subunit ribosomal RNA", at positions 603 to 1470 of the family's 1533-position model. The record is from RNAcentral.
CGGGGCUCAACCUGGGGCAUGCAAGCGCGAACUGCCAGACUUGAGUGCGCAGGAAGUAGGCGGAAUUCGUCGUGUAGCGGUGAAAUGCUUAGAUAUGACGAAGAACUCCGAUUGCGAAGGCAGCCUGCUGUAGCGCAACUGACGCUGAAGCUCGAAAGCGUGGGUAUCGAACAGGAUUAGAUACCCUGGUAGUCCACGCGGUAAACGAUGGAUGCUCGCUGUUUGCGUCUGACGUAAGCGGCCAAGCGAAAGCGUUAAGCAUCCCACCUGGGGAGUACGCCGGCAACGGUGAAACUCAAAGGAAUUGACGGGGGCCCGCACAAGCGGAGGAACAUGUGGUUUAAUUCGAUGAUACGCGAGGAACCUUACCCGGGCUUGAACUGUAGGCGAACGAUUCAGAGAUGAUGAGGCCCUUCGGGGCGCCUAUGGAGGUGCUGCAUGGUUGUCGUCAGCUCGUGCCGUGAGGUGUCGGCUUAAGUGCCAUAACGAGCGCAACCCUUGUUCGUAGUUGCCAUCGGGUUAAGCCGGGCACUCUGCGAAGACUGCCUCCGUAAGGAGUGAGGAAGGUGGGGAUGACGUCAAAUCAGCACGGCCCUUACGUCCGGGGCUACACACGUGUUACAAUGGCAUGUACAGAAAGCAGGGUGUAUGCAAAUACGCUCGAAUCCCUAAAACAUGUCUCAGUUCGGACUGGGGUCUGCAACCCGACCCCACGAAGCUGGAUUCGCUAGUAAUCGCGCAUCAGCCAUGGCGCGGUGAAUACGUUCCCGGGCCUUGUACACACCGCCCGUCAAGCCAUGAAAGCCGGGGGCGCCUAAAGUCCGUGACCGCGAGGGUCGGCCUAGGGUGAAACCG